Penaeus vannamei (Pacific white shrimp) is the source of this 232-nucleotide non-coding RNA. NCBI's taxonomy places the organism in Eukaryota, Metazoa, Arthropoda, Malacostraca, Decapoda, Penaeidae. The record is from RefSeq and is a predicted model, not a curated record.
AAACGGCCUGUGUACGAAGCGGAUAUGCUGGGAUUCGUGAAGCCGUAUAAAUAUGAGAUGUGGCUUUUGUUGUUAACGACUAUGGCUUUGGUGUUCGGCUGCACUUUCUUGAUCCAACUCUUCCAGUUCAGCAGGCCUUUCAGAGGAGAAUCCGACGACGAAACUGAACGGACAGGAAAGGAAAAAGCAAAGAGCGUGUGGAGUGUUUUCUAUUGGACUCUCGGCGCUCUUC